UACGUAGGUGGCGAGCGUUGUCCGGAUUUACUGGGCGUAAAGGGAGCGUAGGCGGACUUUUAAGUGAGAUGUGAAAUACCCGGGCUCAACUUGGGUGCUGCAUUUCAAACUGGAAGUCUAGAGUGCAGGAGAGGAGAAUGGAAUUCCUAGUGUAGCGGUGAAAUGCGUAGAGAUUAGGAAGAAUACCAGUGGCGAAGGCGAUUCUCUGGACUGUAACUGACGCUGAGGCUCGAAAGCGUGGGGAGCAAACAGGAUUAGAUACCCCCGUAGU
This 271-nucleotide ribosomal RNA is filed under the name uncultured prokaryote. Its description in RNAcentral is "partial 16S ribosomal RNA". It matches the Rfam family "Bacterial small subunit ribosomal RNA", at positions 524 to 794 of the family's 1533-position model. The record is from RNAcentral.